CCAGGUACUAUUUUCAUUUUCCUUGACUCUUUCCAACAAAAGGCUCAAUUUCCUUGUGUACUAUAUUUCAUGGGCAGCAAAGACCACAUGCUGUUUUUACAACUGAUGCCAGCUCUCUCCCACGUCAGUUUCUCCUGUAAACAGCCUGGAGGCCUCCCUUUCUCAAUCUGGGUCUUUGUCUUUUGCCCCUCAUGGUCGUAAAGAGGUGGAAGACCAGUAGCGAAAGGCGCUGGCUUUGAAGACAAAGGAUCUGGUGUCACUGUGCGCCAUCAUUUCUUUUGUCAGAGACUUGAUUGUUUUGUUUGUUUAUAAUACACGAUAAUAAUAACCACCUCCCAGGGCCAUUACUGCAGUGAAGCAGGUGUCCACCAUUGUCCACUGUCCCUCUCUGGGGUCUCCUCUGGGAUAUGGUGAGGAAAGGAACUUUCUCUCAAGUCCCUCUAGAGCAGCGCAUUUGGAGGCUGCUUCUCAGGCAGGGGUCUCCUUCACCGGCUCUCCAGCCAGCUGGGCCCCACUCGCUUCGCCGCUGGUUCUGGGCUGGGAACCCUGGACCUCUGUCAGGCUGUGGUGCUCUCUCCUCAGGCACCACAACACAGUUUACGUAAGUGGUUCUCAAAGACUGGAUUCCACACCAGCAGGGUCAGUGUCACCUGGGAACUUGUUGAAAACACAAACUUAAGCCCCACCCCACAUCUACUGUAUCAGAGUCUGUGAGGUGGGGCCCAGGAGUCUACGUCUCAACAAGCCCACCGGGUGAUUCUGACGCUCACUCAAGUUUGAGAACCACCACCUUCAGCACUGACUGGAGAGUACAGGUUCUACAGCCAAACUACCUGGGUCCAAGUCCUGGCUCUGCCACUGUGUGAUCUUGGCAAGGUGUAGAACUUCUCUGUGCCUCAACUUUCUCAUCUACAAAAUGGGAUAAUAAUAAUAUCCUUAUGCCAGUACCACACUGUUUUGACUACGGUAGCUUUGUAGAAAGUUUUGAAAUCAGAAAGUGUGAGUCCUCCAACUGUGUUCUUUUUCAAGACUGUUUUGGCUAUUCAAGGUCCCUUGCAAUGCCGUUGGAACUUUGUUAGGGACUGCAUUUGAAUUUGUAGGUAGCUUUGUCAUCUUAACAAUAUUAAGCCUUUCAGUCCGUGGAUGCACAACAUCUUUCCAUUUACUUAGGUCUUCCUAAAUUUCUUUCAGCAAUGUUUUGUAGUUUUCAGUGUACAAAUCUGUCACCUCUUUGGUUAAAUUUAUUCCUAAGUAUUGUAUUCUUUUUGAUGCUAUUAUAAGUGCAAUUGUUUUCUUAAUUUCUUUUUCGAAUUGUUCAUUGGUGGUGUAUGGAAUUAUAACUGGUUUUUGCGUGUGAUCUUGUACCUUGCAACUUUCCUGAAUUUGUUUCUCACCUCUGGUAGGGUUUUGUUUGGGGUUCUUUAGGAUUUUCUAUAUAGGAUCGUGUAAUCUGCAGUAAAGACAGCUUUACUUUUUCUUUUCCAAUCGGGAUGUCUUUUGUUUCUGUUUUCUUGCCUACCUGCUCUGGCUGAAACUUCCAACAUAAUGCUGAAUAGCAGAGGUCAAAGCAGGCAUCUUUGUCUUGUUCCUUCCCUAGGGGUAAAGAUUUCAGUCUAUUUAGCUAUUUUUAAAAAAACCUUAUUCUCCCUUUUCCUAGUUAUGUACAACCUUCACGAGGUCUAUCUCAUGAAACCAGUUCCACACAGCUUUAAUCAUCUUUGUGACAGCUUUUUUGCUUAGCAACGUCACAGGUUUUGAUGUAAAAAUACCAUUGUCUUCCUCUUAUUCUAGUUUAUAAAUAGCUAUGAGCCAUGUUCGUUGUUGUCCACUCUCUACUUCCUGAGCCCGCACUGUUUGAGGUACCCUGCCUCACACAGUUCCUGCUCAUUAGAUAUUAUGAACUUCCACUGGCAGUGACAUAAGCAGCCACCUGGCCCAGUUCAUAUUCUAAAUAACGAAGUACUCAUCAGGGUCAUAGUUAAGAGUUCCACCCAUCUGAAUAUUGCCUUAUUUUUUUCCAUCCAAAUUCUCAUUUCUCUGAUCAGUGACAUCUUCCAAACACAGAUAUUUUAGUGAAAGCUUGAGCCAUAAAUAUAGUCAGUCCUGUUUCAGUUAUCCAUGCCUUCCAAAUUUUCUUUGACACAAAUUGCCAAAAUUGCAGUGUUUAGAACACGCUGGGAUCUUUUAUUGCCUGGCUCUUAUCACUAAUGUCUGCCCAAAAACAUGCUUAUGAAGGGCAUUCCCAAGGAACAAAUUAAUGUUGCUCUAGCCCUCCCUAGAUUUAGUACAUCUGUUCUGCACUCCAUUAUAAUUUUAAAAUUUCAGGGUAGGCAAUGUUCUGGUGCGACAAAAUUGCCAGGGGACUCCACACAGCCCUGAAUGCUGCCAGACAGUUUGAAAUAACACAUCAGUGAGUUUAGAAAGACCCAUUUUUAGAAUACAAAUGGAGCAAAAAACACUUCAUUCACUUUGAGUCAGGUCCAACACAUGAGGCAAAAGAUGACCAUCAAAGACUAUGAGGACAAGAGAGCAUUAGGACGCCUACAGCCCAUCUACUCCAAGAACUGUGGGUAUUUCGAUAGAAAGCCCUAUAUUUCUUGCACAUCCACUGUGUGCCAAGAGCUGUGUUAGGAGCUCUGCAUAUAUUAUCACAACUCUAAGAGGAAGAGUAGAAAGAGUAACCUCUUUUUACUAAUGAGAAAAUAGGCUCAAAGAUAAAUAAUUUGCCUAAAGUCACAGAUCUAGUGCAUGGCAGGACAGAGAUUAGGUUUGGGGUCUUAUAACAACAUCUCUCCUCCUUCCCCCAUUCCAGGGGUCAGCAAGCUAGGCCUGAAGGCCUAAUCCCACCAACCACCUCUUUUUGUAAGCAAAGUCUUACUGGAACACAGCCAGGCCCACUCAUUCAGGCAUGGUGUGUAAUGACUUCUGUGCAAUGGGAGAGGUGAGUGGUUGAAACAGGCUGUGUAGUCCACCACGCCUAAAAUAUUUACUAUCUGGCCCUCUUCAGAAAAAAAUUUUUUUCAGGCCCCUGCCCUAUGUAGGAGGACCUUCUCUUACUUCUAGGUUGUCCUGCCUUUACCUCGUUUUCAUCCAGUAGGAAUUCUAGAAAAGUCUGCGAUAUGCCCUAAGAUAGUGGCUCUGGCACACUCUGAGAGCUGACAGAGACAGACUCGGGAGGGCUGUUGCCCCAUGUAGUUUAAUCGCCAUCACCACUGAGCAGCUGGCCCAGCACAGAGCCAAUCUUCAACAUCAUGGCAGUCAUCCCCAGAUGAUCUGUCGUCAGGGCCACCUGCAACAUGGAAGCACCUAGACCAAGGGCACGCCUGCAGCACCAGGUGGUGCUACCCCAUCAGGCGUCCUUUCUGCCUAGGUCUCUGUGACCACAAAGUGUGGCCAUAAGCCUCAAACAGCCAGGACUGUUCCUGUGUCUGGAUGGACAGUGGACUUGAACAGCGAGGCCUAAACAUGUGCCUUAUUUAUGGGUCACUCCCUCCCCAGCUUUGUUUUGGUGGUGACUCGCUGCUGGUGUGCAAGACCAUUUACUUGUGAGUUUGGAGACUACCAGUCUAGAGAUUUAUGGCACUUAGUAGCCAGAAGAGGAAGCUGUAAAGUGCCUGACAGAGCAGCUCUAAAAAUUAAGGCUUCUGUUUCCUGAAUCCACAGGCUGAAAAUCCUUAAACCCUGCCGCCGGCUUAGCUUUCCUCCUUCUGCACCAAGCUUAUUCAUGCAUAAUAUGGGAAAGAAAGGACAGGAUGAAUUUAACGCAAUCUUGUCUGAGAACCCUCCUCACUCUUAGUUCCUGAGAUGAGGUAGAAUAUUCCAGUUUCCUGGGAAGUUCAUCACGAAGCCAUUUGAGAAGGAGCAGGUUGCAGGGAAGAAGUCAGGUGUCCUGACAGCAGCCCAGUGUUUCACCAGGCUGAGGACAGGCCCGGGAAGGGUCUGUUAUUUGCGUUUGGAGAUAUCUAGGGUCACAUUGUGCACUUGCCAUGUACUUGCUGUCUAACCUGGACCACACAUAAAUUCUCUCCCUCUUGGUUUUUCAUGUCACAGCAUUUAACGAUGGAAGUUUUGUAAAUUGUAGGGUACUGGGCCAACCCUACAACACAGUUCGUUCUUUCUUCACUUUUGCCAUUCUCCUCCUUAAACUAGCUGAGCAAAGGGUAAGGCCAAGGGUCUUGACAAAUCUGAGGUAAGAAGUUUAAACUGGGGGACUUUAGGGCUCUGAAGAGCAAAGAGACAUUUAUUUAGGGACAUCAUCAGCUAUUCAGCUUCAUUAAUCAUCUAAGCUGAUUUUCUUAAGUAUGCGUGACAUUGGCAUGGAGGACUCUUACUUUCUGGAGUAGGAAGAAGUAUUCUCUCCUUUGCUGGGUUACUUCUGCUCAGAGCUGGUUUCCUCCAGACUUGUCCAGAGCAAGGGCCAGAGUUCAAGGGUGAACGUGUGGCAUUAGGUCAGUGUCGUCUGCAUUUCAUUUUAAACGUAAUAAACGGGCUCACUGAAAGUAACUUGACAUCCACAUGGAGAAAAAGAGUAAAACUAAUGAUAGAUAACACCAAUAGUUGACAUCUCGUCUUUGGUAUACGAUGUGGUCCUUUUAUUUUGGGGGCCUCUGAUACCUUGGGAAUUCAAACAUUUCAAAGAGGUGACUGCAGUCCUAGGAAGCCCAAAAUCAGAAAGCCGUGGAAACUGUCCAACUUCCCCGUCCUGACCUGACCCUCACUGCUUCCCUUCUCCUGCCGUGUGUUUCCACGCUUCAUAACUGAGGGUUCACAUCUUCAACGUUUACAGGAGACUUGCUUCUCUUUCAAAAAACAGAACCAUAAAAAUAAACGCUGGAGUUAAAUCCAGGCGUGCGGCCACCAGGUGGCAGCGGAGCCUAAAUGACAGGCUCCCGGCUCCUUCGCUAAACCCAACUGUGGGUGGGGCCCCGGCAGGAGUUUACACAUACACAUACAACACAUUUACCAGGAAGCUGGGACUCCGGGGUGCAAGCCGCGCACUCACAGGCACGCGGCUCAGCAGCGGCAACUCAGGUGGCAGACGUGGCCGAGGGCACGGAGGCUGCGCCAAGACAGCGAGUUCUCAGCCGGACGGUUACCGUGCGGUAAACGUGGGGACCCGCCGCCCUCUGCUCCUGACCUGGCCUGCUCAGAGGCAGAGGCCGGGAAGGCGUCCCCGCUCCCCGCCGGCCCCACAGCGCCAUGUGGCCGCCCCGCGUCGCAGGGUCUCGGGACUAACACACGCCGUCUCCCUCCGCAGAGCCACGUGUCCGAUUAAACCAAGGCGAAGUUUCCCGCUAUCUGAGCGAAUUCUGGACACAUCUUCACUUCUGGAGCUCAUUUUGGACACGAAUUCGAUAAAGUUCCCUCGACGCUCCCGCUUUCCAGCAGGUCUGUCCGCACCGCGGGCUUCCUCUCACCAAUAACCCGCUUCUUCAUUUCCCCGGGGCCGGCUCCCAGCGCCCCAAGCGGCUCAGACCUGCCCCGGAAGAAGACGCCGGCCGGCCGCCCAGGAAGGGCCAAGAGGAGGGCACGGGCUGUGGGGUUCCCCACCCCAGGGAGCCGGGACUGGUGCUGGACCUCCUCCUGCCCUCACGGCGGCUCCAACCAGCAGCCACUCGGCCCCACGCACGUCUGCGCCUUCUCGCCUCCGCCACCGUCCUCCCCUCGCAGCGUCCAACUGAAGGACGUAACCAGUCACGUGAAGCAAUUCAGCCAAUCACAGGGCAGAACGUCAGCCAAUCACGUGGCCCCUGUCAACCAGUAACCUGGCCGUACGUGAACUUGUCACGUGGCCUCCACCAGUCACGUGGCUGCCUGGCUUCGGGUGGGUAAACACGGCGCCCGCCUUACUGUGAAUCGGUUGUUUGUGUUUCAAAGAGUUUUCUUGCCCCUUUCUCCUGCGCAGUCCCCAGGGGAGUCCGGGUGGACAGGAUGCUGCUGCCCUACAGGUUCGGGUGAACGAGGAGCGCGGCGCUGCAGCGCGAUAUACCCGAGGCGUGUUAUGCAGUAUCAGGCCGGAGGGGGCCGCAGGGGCCUGGAGGCGGGCGCCCCGCCUGGCGCGCAGGUGGAGUAAGGAGCUGAGGGCAGGAAUGGAUCUGUGAUUCUUUAAAAAUAGACUCUCUCGGGCAUUGCCACUUGCCAGCACGUUCAGGCCCCCAGUGGAAGCUUUAUUUCCCCUGCUUCAAUUCGGCGCCCCCGGCUCUCCCCUUGAUUGCAGUGUUUUCAGGCCCUCGACGUCCUCUAUUAGCCUCGGCCUUUUCUUGGGUUUUCCUUUGCCCUCUUACAUUGAAAACAAUGCCUUAAAAGGGAGACAGCUGAGAUUUCUGCAAGACCAGUUUCAUCUCAAAUUUCUCGCCUGCAAGGAAGAGGGAGAAUGGGCCCCCCUGACCGGGCCGAAGCAGUGUGACCGUCUUUAAUAAGUCCAGACUGUUCUUUACCAAAAAUCUAUGCUUCCUUCUUCUCGAGCCGCGAGCCCUGCUACCCAAGACUCCAGCCCUCAGUUUUAGGAGGGAAGAGAAAAGACGGCCAGCGUGAAUGGCUGUGAUGUUAUCUAAACCUUUGAGCUCGCUCCUUAUCAGCUCCAGAGCUCCCAGCCCCAGUGCUGCCCGGAUUGUUUUUUGAACAGUUUAGCACAGAAGGCAGGCUUUUCUAAGAGUGAAGGCCCGGUGAAGAGGACCCAAUCCGCGAAGGAAAUUUAAAUUCCAGUCCACUAAGCAAUCUUUUGCAAAAGAGCCCUCUUUCCCAAGCUUGCUCGUUUUCAGGAGCAGCCUCCUCAAAUUGCUGAAGGCGCUUCUCCCACCUCCAUGCGGGAGAUGCGAGAUCCCCCGCAGGGUCCUCUUCCCCUCCACUUGGGACCGCUCUAGCCGUGUUCCUAGGGUCACAGAGUUUGUAGAAGUUGCAAAAUGCAGUUUCCGUAGGACACCAUUCUGGGCGAGCUGCUUGCGGGCAUGUGUGUGUGGCACCAAAUGAAGAGAGAAUUGAAGAAAAAGAAAGAAAGAGAGUAAGACCUCUAAGAGAGAAAAGUCAGCUGUGCCAGGGGUGUGUGAGCCCAGAGGCCCUCCGUGCGGUGGAGUCUCACCUCUGGCUCUUGCUCACAGAGCCCCUGCAUUCCAAAGUGUGACUGCGGAGUCCGCCCUCCAGAGCAGAGUCAGCUUCUGUUGUGAUCGACCCAGACAGCUUUAAAAUAUGGCCCAAGUCCUGGUUUGUUGUUGCAACAGUAUCAUAUUUAUUUAGUUUGGCUACUGACAGACGAGUGGAGUACUCCGCCACUGGGAACUGAACCCAGGCCACUGAGGGGCGUUCUGUGAAGGAUACAAUCUUGUCUCUUGUACUGUUGCACUUGCUGCGCCCAGUGUGAGCACACAGCACAUAGCAGGUGCUCAGCGAACAUUUGCAAUGAACAGGGUGACGUUGGAACCGCCUGAAUGCCGAGCAGUUGGAGCACAGGAUCAGCAAUUUGAGAAAACAGAUGAACUGCACUGGCUUACGAAUUUCUGACGACUUGCACUGUACCUGCUGGGCUCCUGACCGCGUGAAGGGCGAAGGCUGGCCUCACAGCGGCCGUGCCCCCGGAAGCGCAGUGCAGAGUGCCGCGCAGCGCCCUCCUGACCGCGUGAAGGGCGAAGGCUGGCCUCACAGCGGCCGUGCCCCCGGAAGCGCAGUGCAGAGUGCCGCGCAGCGCCCUCCUGACCGCGUGAAGGGCGAAGGCUGGCCUCACAGCGGCCGUGCCCCCGGAAGCGCAGUGCAGAGUGCCGCGCAGCGCCC
This is a long non-coding RNA of Equus caballus (horse), 7764 nucleotides long. The record is from Ensembl. Lineage: Eukaryota; Metazoa; Chordata; Mammalia; Perissodactyla; Equidae.